GUGAAUCAUCGAAUCUUUGAACGCAAAUUGCACUCUCUGCGGUGAGUAUGCCUGUUUGAGGGUCAGUGUUAAUAAAAAUCGGAAGGUUGCUUCGUUGUUACGCGCCGGAGUUUGGGUCAUCUUAAGAUCCUUUAGGUUUUAAGAGGCUUAAAAUGGACUUUUGUUGCGGAUUUGAGAUGUACAUAAGUUCUUUUUUUUAUUCGUCUGGCUU
RNAcentral lists this unclassified non-coding RNA (211 nucleotides) under Rhizophagus sp. (in: glomeromycetes). Its description in RNAcentral is "partial contains 5.8S ribosomal RNA and internal transcribed spacer 2". The stretch from base 1 to 65 matches the Rfam family "5.8S ribosomal RNA", at positions 84 to 154 of the family's 154-position model. The record is from RNAcentral. Lineage: Eukaryota; Fungi; Glomeromycota; Glomeromycetes; Glomerales; Glomeraceae.